Molecule: ribosomal RNA, 966 nt
Filed under: Bacillus pumilus
Lineage: Bacteria; Bacillati; Bacillota; Bacilli; Caryophanales; Bacillaceae
Description: bacterial SSU rRNA
Rfam family: Bacterial small subunit ribosomal RNA
Source: RNAcentral
UUUUCCCGAUUUUACGAUCGUCAUCGUUAUGGAGUAACGAAAUGACCAAAAGCUGAGCUUACCUCCUCGCACGUGCACAGCCCCUAAACAGAGAGCUCAGACUAACUCCGAGCCAGCAGCCGAUGUUAAUGCGUACAUGGCUAUCGUGUCCUAUUAUUAUUGGACGUGAUAGGGCUCGCAGUCGUUUUUUUAGUGUGAAGUCCAAGCCCCCGGCUCAGCCCGGGGAAGUUCAUUGGAAGCUGGGAAACUUGAGUGCAGAGGGAGGAGAGUGUAAUUCCACGUGUAGCGGUGAAAUGCGUAGAGAUGUGGAGGAACACCAGUGGCGAAGGCGACUCUCUGGUCUGUAACUGACGCUGAGGAGCGAAAGCGUGGGGAGCGAACAGGAUUAGAUACCUUGGUAGUCCACGCCGUAAACGAUGAGUGCUAAGUGUUAGGGGGUUUCCGCCCCUUAGUGCUGCAGCUAACGCAUUAAGCACUCCGCCUGGGGAGUACGGUCGCAAGACUGAAACUCAAAGGAAUUGACGGGGGCCCGCACAAGCGGUGGAGCAUGUGGUUUAAUUCGAAGCAACGCGAAGAACCUUACCAGGUCUUGACAUCCUCUGACAACCCUAGAGAUAGGGCUUUCCCUUCGGGGACAGAGUGACAGGUGGUGCAUGGUUGUCGUCAGCUCGUGUCGUGAGAUGUUGGGUUAAGUCCCGCAACGAGCGCAACCCUUGAUCUUAGUUGCCAGCAUUCAGUUGGGCACUCUAAGGUGACUGCCGGUGACAAACCGGAGGAAGGUGGGGAUGACGUCAAAUCAUCAUGCCCCUUAUGACCUGGGCUACACACGUGCUACAAUGGACAGAACAAAGGGCUGCAAGACCGCAAGGUUUAGCCAAUCCCAUAAAUCUGUUCUCAGUUCGGAUCGCAGUCUGCAACUCGACUGCGUGAAGCUGGAAUCGCUAGUAAUCGCGGAUCAGCAUGCCG